ACUCUGCAAACACGUAAGUGGACGUAUAGGGUGUGACGCCUGCCCGGUGCCGGAAGGUUAAUUGAUGGGGUUAGCUUCGGCGAAGCUCUUGAUCGAAGCCCCGGUAAACGGCGGCCGUAACUAUAACGGUCCUAAGGUAGCGAAAUUCCUUGUCGGGUAAGUUCCGACCUGCACGAAUGGCGUAACGAUGGCCACGCUGUCUCCACCCGAGACUCAGUGAAAUUGAAAUCGCUGUGAAGAUGCAGUGUAUCCGCGGCUAGACGGAAAGACCCCGUGAACCUUUACUACAGCUUCACACUGGACUUUGAGCCUACUUGUGUAGGAUAGCUGGGAGGCUUUGAAGCGGUAACGCUAGUUAUCGUGGAGCCAAUCUUGAAAUACCAGCCUGGUAUGUUUGAGGUUCUAACUCUGGUCCCUGAUCGGGAUCGAGGACAGUGUGUGGUGGGUAGUUUGACUGGGGCGGUCUCCUCCCAAAGAGUAACGGAGGAGCACGAAGGUGCGCUAAGCAUGGUCGGACAUCAUGCGGUUAGUGUAAAGGUAUAAGCGCGCUUGACUGCGAGACGUACAUGUCGAGCAGGUACGAAAGUAGGUCUUAGUGAUCCGGUGGUUCUGUAUGGAAGGGCCAUCGCUCAACGGAUAAAAGGUACUCCGGGGAUAACAGGCUGAUACCGCCCAAGAGUUCACAUCGACGGCGGUGUUUGGCACCUCGAUGUCGGCUCAUCACAUCCUGGGGCUGAAGCCGGUCCCAAGGGUAUGGCUGUUCGCCAUUUAAAGUGGUACGCGAGCUGGGUUUAGAACGUCGUGAGACAGUUCGGUCCCUAUCUGCCGUGGACGUUGGAAGUUUGAGGAGAGCUGCUCCUAGUACGAGAGGACCGGAGUGGACGAACCACUGGUGUUCGGGUUGUGUCGCCAGACGCAUUGCCCGGUAGCUAAGUUCGGACGGGAUAACCGCUGAAAGCAUCUAAGCGGGAAGCCCCCUUCAAGAUGAGACUUCCCUUAGGCCUUGAGCCUUCUAAAGAGCCGUUUAAGACUAAGACGUUGAUAGGCGGGGUGUGUAAGUGCUGUGAGGCAUUGAGCUAACCCGUACUAAUUGCUCGUGAGGCUUGACCAUAUAACGCCAAAG
This 1123-nucleotide ribosomal RNA is filed under the name Spartinivicinus marinus. RNAcentral describes it as "partial 23S ribosomal RNA". It matches the Rfam family "Bacterial large subunit ribosomal RNA", at positions 1820 to 2925 of the family's 2925-position model. The record is from RNAcentral. Lineage: Bacteria; Pseudomonadati; Pseudomonadota; Gammaproteobacteria; Oceanospirillales; Zooshikellaceae.